AAGACCUUGCGCUUUUGGAGCGGCCGAUGCCUGAUUAGCUUGUUGGUAAGGUAAAAGCUUACCAAGGCUUCGAUCAGUAGCUGGUCUGAGAGGACGACCAGCCACACUGGGACUGAGACACGGCCCAGACUCCUACGGGAGGCAGCAGUGGGGAAUUUUGGACAAUGGGGGCAACCCUGAUCCAGCCAUGCCGCGUGAGUGAAGAAGGCCUUCGGGUUGUAAAGCUCUUUCAGCCGGAACGAAACGGUUACGGAUAACACCCGUGACUACUGACGGUACCGGAAGAAGAAGCACCGGCUAACUACGUGCCAGCAGCCGCGGUAAUACGUAGGGUGCGAGCGUUAAUCGGAAUCACUGGGCGUAAAGCGUGCGCAGGUGGUUUUGUAAGUCAGAUGUGAAAGCCCCGGGCUCAACCUGGGAACU
Molecule: ribosomal RNA, 423 nt
Filed under: uncultured bacterium
Lineage: Bacteria
Description: bacterial SSU rRNA
Rfam family: Bacterial small subunit ribosomal RNA
Source: RNAcentral